This 357-nucleotide ribosomal RNA is filed under the name Escherichia coli. Its description in RNAcentral is "bacterial SSU rRNA". It matches the Rfam family "Bacterial small subunit ribosomal RNA", at positions 1 to 354 of the family's 1533-position model. Lineage: Bacteria; Pseudomonadati; Pseudomonadota; Gammaproteobacteria; Enterobacterales; Enterobacteriaceae. The record is from RNAcentral.
AAAUUGAAGAGUUUGAUCAUGGCUCAGAUUGAACGCUGGCGGCAGGCCUAACACAUGCAAGUCGAACGGUAACAGGGAUCAGCUUGCUGAUUUGCUGACGAGUGGCGGACGGGUGAGUAAUGUCUGGGAAACUGCCUGAUGGAGGGGGAUAACUACUGGAAACGGUAGCUAAUACCGCAUAACGUCGCAAGACCAAAGAGGGGGACCUUCGGGCCUCUUGCCAUCGGAUGUGCCCAGAUGGGAUUAGCUAGUAGGUGGGGUAACGGCUCACCUAGGCGACGAUCCCUAGCUGGUCUGAGAGGAUGACCAGCCACACUGGAACUGAGACACGGUCCAGACUCCUACGGGAGGCAGCAG